This 482-nucleotide ribosomal RNA is filed under the name uncultured bacterium. RNAcentral's name for it is "bacterial SSU rRNA". It matches the Rfam family "Bacterial small subunit ribosomal RNA", at positions 501 to 985 of the family's 1533-position model. The record is from RNAcentral.
CUACGUGCCAGCAGCCGCGGUAAUACGGAAGGUCCAGGCGUUAUCCGGAUUUAUUGGGUUUAAAGGGAGCGUAGGCGGACGAUUAAGUCAGCUGUGAAAGUUUGCGGCUCAACCGUAAAAUUGCAGUUGAAACUGGUUGUCUUGAGUGCACGCAGGGAUGUUGGAAUUCAUGGUGUAGCGGUGAAAUGCUUAGAUAUCAUGAAGAACUCCGAUCGCGAAGGCAUAUGUCCGGAGUGCAACUGACGCUGAGGCUCGAAAGUGCGGGUAUCGAACAGGAUUAGAUACCCUGGUAGUCCGCACAGUAAACGAUGAAUACUCGCAGUAUGCGAUAUAAUGUAUGCUGCCAAGUGAAAACGUUAAGUAUUCCACCUGGGGAGUACGCCGGCAACGGUGAAACUCAAAGGAAUUGACGGGGGCCCGCACAAGCGGAGGAACAUGUGGUUUAAUUCGAUGAUACGCGAGGAACCUUACCCGGGAUUGAA